UACGGAGGGGGCUAGCGUUGUUCGGAAUUACUGGGCGUAAAGCGUGCGCAGGCGGUUGUGCAAGACAGGUGUGAAAUCCCCGGGCUUAACCUGGGAACUGCACUUGUGACUGCACGGCUGGAGUACGGCAGAGGGGGAUGGAAUUCCGCGUGUAGCAGUGAAAUGCGUAGAUAUGCGGAGGAACACCGAUGGCGAAGGCAGUCCCCUGGGCCUGUACUGACGCUCAUGCACGAAAGCGUGGGGAGCAAACAGG
RNAcentral lists this ribosomal RNA (253 nucleotides) under uncultured bacterium. RNAcentral's name for it is "partial 16S ribosomal RNA". It matches the Rfam family "Bacterial small subunit ribosomal RNA", at positions 524 to 776 of the family's 1533-position model. The record is from RNAcentral.